GGGGAUUUAGCUCAGUGGUAAGAGCGCUUGCCUAGGAAGCGCAAGGCCCUGGGUUCGGUCCCCAGCUCCG
Rattus norvegicus (Norway rat) is the source of this 70-nucleotide non-coding RNA. NCBI's taxonomy places the organism in Eukaryota, Metazoa, Chordata, Mammalia, Rodentia, Muridae. The record is from Rfam.